CCUACGGGAGGCAGCAGUGAGGAAUAUUGGACAAUGGGCGAGAGCCUGAUCCAGCCAUGCCGCGUGCAGGAAGACGGCCCUAUGGGUUGUAAACUGCUUUUAUACAGGAAGAAACACUCCCUUGCGAGGGAGCUUGACGGUACUGUACGAAUAAGGAUCGGCUAACUCCGUGCCAGCAGCCGCGGUAA
RNAcentral lists this ribosomal RNA (188 nucleotides) under uncultured bacterium. RNAcentral's name for it is "partial 16S ribosomal RNA". It matches the Rfam family "Bacterial small subunit ribosomal RNA", at positions 338 to 523 of the family's 1533-position model. The record is from RNAcentral.